RNAcentral lists this ribosomal RNA (253 nucleotides) under uncultured bacterium. RNAcentral's name for it is "partial 16S ribosomal RNA". It matches the Rfam family "Bacterial small subunit ribosomal RNA", at positions 524 to 776 of the family's 1533-position model. The record is from RNAcentral.
UACGAAGGGGGCUAGCGUUGCUCGGAAUUACUGGGCGUAAAGGGCGCGUAGGCGGACAACUUAGUCAGAGGUGAAAGCCCAGGGCUCAACCUUGGAAUUGCCUUUGAUACUGGUUGUCUUGAGUUCGGGAGAGGUGAGUGGAAUGCCGAGUGUAGAGGUGAAAUUCGUAGAUAUUCGGCGGAACACCAGUGGCGAAGGCGACUCACUGGCCCGAUACUGACGCUGAGGCGCGAAAGCGUGGGGAGCGAACAGG